Molecule: ribosomal RNA, 518 nt
Filed under: uncultured Lachnospiraceae bacterium
Lineage: Bacteria; Bacillati; Bacillota; Clostridia; Lachnospirales; Lachnospiraceae
Description: partial 16S ribosomal RNA
Source: RNAcentral
CACGUAGUUAGCCGGGGCUUCUUGGUCAGGUACUGUCAUUUUCUUCCCUGCUGAUAGAGCUUUACAUACCGAAAUACUUCUUCACUCACGCGGCGCCGCUGCAUCAGGGUUUCCCCCAUUGUGCAAUAUCCCCCACUGCUGCCUCCCGUAGGAGUUUGGGCCGUGUCUCAGUCCCAAUGUGGCCGUCCGCCCUCUCAGGCCGGCUACUGAUCGUCGCUUUGGUAGGCCGUUACCCUGCCAACUGGCUAAUCAGACGCGGGUCCAUCAUAUACCACCGGAGUUUUUCACACCGGGGCAUGUGCCCCUGUGCGCUUAUGCGGUAUUAGCACCUAUUUCUAAGUGUUAUCCCCCUGUAUAUGGCAGGUUACCCACGCGUUACUCCACCCGUCCGCCACUAGGGCGUAGAAAGUUUGAAGUCUAGUAAACUAUACCCUCUCGCACAUCACCGCCCCCGUUCGACUUGCAUGUGUUAAGCACGCCGCCAGCGUUCACUCCUGACGCCGAGGACUACAAACGUU